AUGAACCCUAGAUCAAAACCCGAUUCGGCGACGGUGUUGUCCUCCUAUCCAGAUUCUGGUGGCCUUGGGUGUGGCUAUGUGAUGAAUAGAUGGGGCUUCGCAGUGGGUUCGGUAUCAAUGGCGCUUGGAGAUGGUGUCGCGGAUGAGAGAUCGAGUCCCAGAGGUCUGGGUUUUGUGUCGUGGUUGAGUUGUCGCUGGUGGAGUGGAGGGUUGUUGCGGGAGACACAGUUCCGGGGGAUGCAGGAAGUGCGGCGGAAAAGAGAGGUGUUCAUAAAAAGGGAAGGGACAAAAGAGAGCUUAGAAAGGGAAGGGACAAAAGAGAGCUUAGAAAGUGACCAGGAAUUUACUUCGAUCAAAAGUUUUCUACAUGUUGGUAUAAAGUGA
Molecule: non-coding RNA, 384 nt
Organism: Vicia faba (fava bean)
Lineage: Eukaryota; Viridiplantae; Streptophyta; Magnoliopsida; Fabales; Fabaceae
Source: the annotation of a GenBank genome assembly